GACGUAGGGCGCGAGCGUUGUCCGGAAUUAUUGGGCGUAAAGCGCGCGCAGGCGGUCCUUUAAGUCUGAUGUGAAAGCCCACGGCUCAACCGUGGAGGGUCAUUGGAAACUGGGGGACUUGAGUGCAGAAGAGGAAAGCGGAAUUCCACGUGUAGCGGUGAAAUGCGUAGAGAUGUGGAGGAACACCAGUGGCGAAGGCGGCUUUCUGGUCUGUAACUGACGCUGAGGCGCGAAAGCGUGGGGAGCAAACAGG
This 253-nucleotide ribosomal RNA is filed under the name uncultured bacterium. RNAcentral's name for it is "partial 16S ribosomal RNA". It matches the Rfam family "Bacterial small subunit ribosomal RNA", at positions 524 to 776 of the family's 1533-position model. The record is from RNAcentral.